UCACAAACAUCUCUUCUUGUAUAUAUAAGAAGUAAGCCCUGCCCGAUGCCUGCGGGUAAAUGGCGAUCUAUCUUAAAGUAGCAUAGUAAAUUGCCCUUUAAUUAAGGUCUUGAAUGAAUGGGUUGACGAUAAAGAGGCUGUCUUGUGAGGACAAAUUUUAAAUUUUCUUUUUGGUGAAAAGACCUGAGUUAAAUUAAAAGACGAGAAGACCCCGUCGAGCUUACUUAAUUAUUGUUUUUUAACGGUAAAAUUUUUGUUGGGGCAACAAUGGAGAAUAACCUCCGUUUUAUUUUAUGUGGAUCCAUUUUUUAUGACUACAAUAAAAAGUUACCGCGGGGAUAACAGCGCAAGAUUACUUUAGAGAUCUUAUUGAAGGUAAAAAUUGUGACCUCGAUGUUGGAUUAGGGUAGCUUUUUGGUGUAGCAGCUGAGAAAGCGGGACUGUUCGUCCGUAAUGCCAUU
This 461-nucleotide ribosomal RNA is filed under the name Parvicardium minimum. RNAcentral describes it as "partial 16S ribosomal RNA". It matches the Rfam family "Bacterial large subunit ribosomal RNA", at positions 1807 to 2598 of the family's 2925-position model. The record is from RNAcentral. Lineage: Eukaryota; Metazoa; Mollusca; Bivalvia; Cardiida; Cardiidae.